RNAcentral lists this ribosomal RNA (424 nucleotides) under uncultured bacterium. Its description in RNAcentral is "bacterial SSU rRNA". It matches the Rfam family "Bacterial small subunit ribosomal RNA", at positions 361 to 777 of the family's 1533-position model. The record is from RNAcentral.
AUCUUCCACAAUGGGCGCAAGCCUGAUGGAGCAACGCCGCGUGUGUGAUGAAGGCUUUCGGGUCGUAAAGCACUGUUGUAUGGGAAGAAAUGCUAGAAUAGGGAAUGAUUCUAGUUCGACGGUACCAUACCAGAAAGGGACGGCUAAAUACGUGCCAGCAGCCGCGGUAAUACGUAUGUCCCGAGCGUUAUCCGGAUUUAUUGGGCGUAAAGCGAGCGCAGACGGUUGAUUAAGUCUGAUGUGAAAGCCCGGAGCUCAACUCCGGAAUGGCAUUGGAAACUGGUUAACUUGAGUGUUGUAGAGGUAAGUGGAACUCCAUGUGUAGCGGUGGAAUGCGUAGAUAUAUGGAAGAACACCAGUGGCGAAGGCGGCUUACUGGACAACAACUGACGUUGAGGCUCGAAAGUGUGGGUAGCAAACAGGA